GGGACAUAAUUAACCCUAAAGGCGCAAUGAAAGUGAAGGUCACGCCUAGCGUGCACCGAGGGAAGAUGGGCGGUCGCCCACAAAGUGGCCGCCUCGCACUCCCGGGGCGUCUCGUUCUCAUCGCGAGGAGAGGCGCACCAAGAGCGUACACGCUGGGACCCGAAAGAUGGUGAACUAUGCCUGGUCAGGACGAAGUCAGGGGAAACCCUGAUGGAGGUCCGUAGCGAUUCUGACGUGCAAAUCGAUCGUCGGAACUGGGUAUAGGGGCGAAAGACUAAUCGAACCAUCUAGUAGCUGGUUCCCUCCGAAGUUUCCCUCAGGAUAGCUGGCGCUCGUUGCGCACGAGUCUCAUCCGGUAAAGCGAAUGAUUAGAGGCAUUGGGGUCGAAACGGCCUCAACCUAUUCUCAAACUUUAAAUGGGUGAGAUCUCCGGCUUGCUCGAACUAUUGAAGCCGUGAGACACGGAUCAGAGUGCCAAGUGGGCCAUUUUUGGUAAGCAGAACUGGCGCUGUGGGAUGAACCAAACGCCGAGUUAAAGCGCCUAAAUCGACGCUUAUGGGAUACCAUGAAAGGCGUUGGUAACUUAAGACAGCAGGACGGUGGCCAUGGAAGUCGGAAUCCG
This 622-nucleotide ribosomal RNA is filed under the name Protopeltis viridescens. RNAcentral describes it as "partial 28S large subunit ribosomal RNA". It matches the Rfam family "Eukaryotic large subunit ribosomal RNA", at positions 697 to 1270 of the family's 3401-position model. Lineage: Eukaryota; Metazoa; Arthropoda; Insecta; Coleoptera; Protopeltidae. The record is from RNAcentral.